Molecule: long non-coding RNA, 108 nt
Organism: Alosa sapidissima (American shad)
Lineage: Eukaryota; Metazoa; Chordata; Actinopteri; Clupeiformes; Clupeidae
Exons: 3
Source: RefSeq, a predicted model, not a curated record
AUUGAAUGUGUGUGUGUGUUUUAGCAGGGCCAUGGGCCUUCAAUGAGUGUGUGUGUGUGUUUUAGCAGGGCCAUGGGCCUUCAAUGUGUGUGUGUGUGUGUGUGUGUU